Molecule: unclassified non-coding RNA, 329 nt
Filed under: soil metagenome
Description: partial contains 5.8S ribosomal RNA, internal transcribed spacer 2, and large subunit ribosomal RNA
Rfam family: 5.8S ribosomal RNA (bases 1-120)
Source: RNAcentral
GAUGAAGAACGCAGCGAAAUGCGAUAAGUAGUGUGAAUUGCAGAAUUCAGUGAAUCAUCGAAUCUUUGAACGCACAUUGCGCCCCUUGGUAUCCCGAGGGGCAUGCCUGUUCGAGCGUCAUUUCACCACUCAAGCCUGGCUUGGUGUUGGGCGACGUCCCCUUUGGGGACGCGCCUCGAAACGCUCGGCGGCGUGGCACCGGCUUUAAGCGUAGCAGGAUCUUUCGCUUUGGAAGUCGGGGCCCCGUCUGCCGGAAGACCUACUCGCAAGGUUGACCUCGGAUCAGGCAGGGAUACCCGCUGAACUUAAGCAUAUCAAUAAGCGGAGGA